RNAcentral lists this ribosomal RNA (253 nucleotides) under uncultured bacterium. RNAcentral describes it as "partial 16S ribosomal RNA". It matches the Rfam family "Bacterial small subunit ribosomal RNA", at positions 524 to 776 of the family's 1533-position model. The record is from RNAcentral.
UACGUAGGGUGCAAGCGUUGCUCGGAAUCACUGGGAGUAAAGCGCACGUAGGCGGCUUCUUAAGUCAGGGGUGAAAUCCUGGAGCUCAACUCCAGAACUGCCUUUGAUACUGAGGAGCUUGAGUCCGGGAGAGGUGAGUGGAACUGCGAGUGUAGAGGUGAAAUUCGUAGAUAUUCGCAAGAACACCAGUGGCGAAGGCGGCUCACUGGCCCGGUACUGACGCUGAGGUGCGAAAGCGUGGGGAGCAAACAGG